Molecule: unclassified non-coding RNA, 350 nt
Filed under: soil metagenome
Description: partial contains 5.8S ribosomal RNA, internal transcribed spacer 2, and large subunit ribosomal RNA
Rfam family: 5.8S ribosomal RNA (bases 1-120)
Source: RNAcentral
GAUGAAGAACGCAGCGAACUGCGAUAAGUAAUGUGAAUUGCAGAAUUCAGUGAAUCAUCGAGUCUUUGAACGCACAUUGCGCCCCCUGGCAUUCCGGGGGGCAUGCCUGUCCGAGCGUCAUUGCUGCCCUUCAAGCCCGGCUUGUGUGUUGGGUCGUCGUCCCCCCCGGGGGACGGGCCCGAAAGGCAGCGGCGGCACCGCGUCCGGUCCUCGAGCGUAUGGGGCUUUGUCACCCGCUCGAUUAGGGCCGGCCGGGCGCCAGCCGGCGUCUCCAACCUUCUGUUUUACCAGGUUGACCUCGGAUCAGGUAGGGAUACCCGCUGAACUUAAGCAUAUCAAUAAGCGGAGGA